Molecule: ribosomal RNA, 468 nt
Filed under: uncultured bacterium
Lineage: Bacteria
Description: partial 16S ribosomal RNA
Rfam family: Bacterial small subunit ribosomal RNA
Source: RNAcentral
GACGAACGCUGGCGGCGUGCUUAACACAUGCAAGUCGAACGGAAAGGCCCUGCUUUUGUGGGGUGCUCGAGUGGCGAACGGGUGAGUAACACGUGAGUAACCUGCCCUUGACUUUGGGAUAACUUCAGGAAACUGGGGCUAAUACCGGAUAGGAGCUCCUGCUGCAUGGUGGGGGUUGGAAAGUUUCGGCGGUUGGGGAUGGACUCGCGGCUUAUCAGCUUGUUGGUGGGGUAGUGGCUUACCAAGGCUUUGACGGGUAGCCGGCCUGAGAGGGUGACCGGCCACAUUGGGACUGAGAUACGGCCCAGACUCCUACGGGAGGCAGCAGUGGGGAAUAUUGCACAAUGGGCGGAAGCCUGAUGCAGCAACGCCGCGUGCGAGAUGACGGCCUUCGGGUUGUAAGCCGCUUUCGCCUGUGACGAAGCGUGAGUGACGGUAAUGGGUAAAGAAGCACCGGCUAACUACGUG